RNAcentral lists this ribosomal RNA (460 nucleotides) under uncultured bacterium. RNAcentral describes it as "partial 16S ribosomal RNA". It matches the Rfam family "Bacterial small subunit ribosomal RNA", at positions 338 to 795 of the family's 1533-position model. The record is from RNAcentral.
CCUACGUGAGGCAGCAGUGAGGAAUAUUGGUCCAUGGGCGCGAGCCUGAACCAGCCAAGUAGCGUGAAGGAUGACUGCCCUCCGGGUUGUAAACUUCUUUUAUAAAGGAAUAAAGUGAGGCAAGUGUGCCUUUUUGUAUGUACUUUAUGAAUAAGGAUCGGCUAACUCCGUGCCAGCAUCCGCGGUCAUACGGAGGAUCCGAGCGUUAUCCGUAUUUAUUGGGUUUAAAGGUAGCGUAGAUGGGUUGUUAAGUCAGUUGUGAAAGUUUGCGGCUCAACCGUAAAAUUGCAAUUGAUACUGGCAGCAUUGAGUACAGUUGAGGUAGGCGGAAUUCGUGGUGUAGCGGUGAAAUGCUUAGAUAUCACGAAGAACUCCGAUUGCGAAGGCAGCUUACUAAACUGCCACUGACAUUGAUGCUCGAAAGUGUGGGUAUCAAACAGGAUUAGAUACCCCUGUAGUC